CAAAAAACCCCUUCAACUUAUUGCCAAAAAACAUCUGAGUGGGUGAUUUAAGCACCUGGACUAGUUUUAGAAGCAGUUGAAACCCAAGUAGAAAUACAAAAUGUGCAAAAUGUGAAUUUUGCUUAAUGGGUCACCUUUAAAAUUACAAGAAAAAAAAGUGUCAUUCUAAUGAGAAGAAAGUUUCUAGAGUCAUCAAGAUCUGAAGUGACCAAGAAUAAAAAGUAUGUCUCGUUUUCAUCUUGUUUACCCAACAACAACCGCUGUCGUCUUGAGGGACGGCGCAUCUUCUGCACUUUGAUGCCUGGGCUAGAGGGGAAACUGACAGCGUUUACUAUCCUCCACAAAUUAUGUUUGGGGAUUCUGGAGAAGAUGAGGUGCAGCUCUGUCGUUUUUUGCUGCGGUUUCACCCGUCUGGCCGCAUGAAAUGCAGCAAAUGGGCGUUUCUCUUUCAUCCUCAACAAGUCUGAGUCCUAACGAGGUUUCCGCUGUCUGCAGCCAUCAAUUAAACACUCAGCCUGGGACAAAAGCCGCGGCCGGAGUUGCUUCCAUGAAAGGGAAUCUGUUUGCAGCAGACUUGAGGAAACCAAGGGCUGGCUGUAAAUAUCAAGGCAGCGUCUUUUUUUGGAACAUUAGGGAAAAGUUUAAAGCUGAUACGACGAGAUUUAUUACAGAAGCGAAUCAAAGGAAGAUAUGCGAUGUGUCAUCGGUUGACUUUGCAGCUCAUUUGUUAAGCUGACAGACUUACCUCACAUCGCCUGGAGGUGAAAUGACAGGACAUCCUGACAGGACAAAAGGAGCCUACUCUGUUGGAUCUUUCACAGGGUUUUGCCUUUUAGGAUGAUUUUAAAAAACAAUAAAACCCACAAACGGAUUUGCUAAAUUGCCGGCUAAAGCAUGUGGAUUACUGCGUGUUGAGCUGGGAUGCAAAGAUUAGAGAGCACCACUACGGGUGUUUUUUUUUAAGCUAGCAAAAUGGGAAGAAACAAAGUGAACACUGACAAAAGUUUGGUACUCGAACACUUCACUCUUAAUGAGAAUUAUUAGAAAAUCUGCAAAAGAGGACAUUUAUUAGAGGUGCAGAAUAAAAAAAAAUCUUUAAGAAUCCCAAAUCCUGGUCCUGUGAA
This is a non-coding RNA of Poecilia reticulata (guppy), 1124 nucleotides long. NCBI's taxonomy places the organism in Eukaryota, Metazoa, Chordata, Actinopteri, Cyprinodontiformes, Poeciliidae. The record is from RefSeq and is a predicted model, not a curated record.